This is a non-coding RNA of Zootoca vivipara (common lizard), 356 nucleotides long. NCBI's taxonomy places the organism in Eukaryota, Metazoa, Chordata, Lepidosauria, Squamata, Lacertidae. The record is from RefSeq and is a predicted model, not a curated record.
AGUUCACUUUUUAAAAACUGUUUUGUUUCUUAUCAUUUCAGUCUGUAAACCCUGUCCGAGUGGGCAGUCUCUCAAAAGAGGGGGUGUGGAAUGUCAGUCUUGGCCAGAAGUGACGUCUGUCACACCUCAGCCUAGUUCAGAACGGGGGCGUGUCGUGUCGACUACGGACCCCACAUUUACUCGCACUGUUUCGUCCACUCAUGAUGUGAAGGUGAUGGAUCCAGGCGUAUCCGGAGCAUUAGGACCCGAGAGCCGGAUGUUGGUAUUGAUCAUCUCCAUCACCGCAGUGCUGCUUCUUGCAGUGGGAGGGCUGGCCUAUUUUCUAAUUUGGGGGAAAUCCAAGAGGAGAAAGGUGG